This 292-nucleotide signal recognition particle RNA is filed under the name Neogobius melanostomus (round goby). Its description in RNAcentral is "Metazoan signal recognition particle RNA (ENSNMLG00000003688.1)". It matches the Rfam family "Metazoan signal recognition particle RNA". Rfam says of the family: The signal recognition particle (SRP) is a universally conserved ribonucleoprotein. The record is from Rfam by way of RNAcentral. Lineage: Eukaryota; Metazoa; Chordata; Actinopteri; Gobiiformes; Gobiidae.
GCCGGGUGCGGUGGCGCGUGCCUGUAAUCCAAGUUACUUGGAGGCUGAGACUGGUGGAUCGUUUGAGCUCAGGAUCUUGAGCUGCAGUGGACUAUGUUGAUCGGGUGUCCCAAUAAGUUCGUAUGAUAUGGUGCUCCUGGGGAGCCCGGACCACCAGGUCGUCUAAGGAGGGGUGCACCGGCCCAGGUCGGAAACGGAGCAGGCCAAGCCCCCGUGCCGCUCAGUAGUGGGAUCGCGCCUGUGAAUAGAGGCUGUAGUGAAGCCUGAGUAAUACAGCGGGACCCAGUCUUUU